This is a long non-coding RNA of Entelurus aequoreus (snake pipefish), 455 nucleotides long. RefSeq lists it as uncharacterized. NCBI's taxonomy places the organism in Eukaryota, Metazoa, Chordata, Actinopteri, Syngnathiformes, Syngnathidae. The transcript has 3 exons. The record is from RefSeq and is a predicted model, not a curated record.
UGCAGUUGGUACGUACGUGCUUUAAUGUGUCUCUACUACUAUCCGAGGUAAUCCUUCUCUUGUUUGAGUAAUCUUACUAAUCUUGCAUCCUUAUUUUACUCUCUUAAGACUGACACUUCGCCAUGAGAGCCAAGUGGAGAAAGAAGCGCAUGCGCAGGCUGAAGCGCAAAAGGAGAAAGAUGAGGCAGAGGUCCAAGUAAGCUGUCUUCUGGGGUUCGUGGCUGUGAUGUUAGUCAGUACCCGGUGAGAAGAGAGUGCAGCCAGGACGGCCUUCAUGUUGGACUCCUUCCAUCAGCAUGUCCGCACGAGGCACGAGCUGCUCACCAAUGUCUGCAGGUCGGAGGACUGUUUUUUGGUGAUAUUCUGGACUCUGGUUGUUCCUUUUUGACUGUUCUUUUCAAUGUUCAAACUUUUUUUAUGCUUUGAUUAAAGGUUUGGGUGUUUUUAAAACAAUA